UGGAGAAAUAACCCCAGCGGCGCAGCCACCUCUGGAGCCCUGGAUUCAGCCCCCGCAGUAACUACGGUGCUCUCUGUCUGCAGAGGCCUGGAGGCUCCGGGGUGGG
Molecule: microRNA precursor, 106 nt
Filed under: Canis lupus familiaris (dog)
Lineage: Eukaryota; Metazoa; Chordata; Mammalia; Carnivora; Canidae
Description: mir-8834 microRNA precursor family
Rfam family: mir-8834 microRNA precursor family
Source: Rfam by way of RNAcentral